Molecule: ribosomal RNA, 253 nt
Filed under: uncultured bacterium
Lineage: Bacteria
Description: partial 16S ribosomal RNA
Rfam family: Bacterial small subunit ribosomal RNA
Source: RNAcentral
GAUCAUGGCUCAGGAUGAACGCUAGCGACAGGCCUAACACAUGCAAGUCGAGGGGCAGCGGGGAGGUAGCAAUACCUUUGCCGGCGACCGGCGCACGGGUGAGUAACACGUAUGCAAUCCACCUGUAACAGGGGGAUAACCCGGAGAAAUCCGGACUAAUACCCCAUAAUAUGGGCUCUCCGCAUGGAGGGGUUCGUAUUAAAAGUAAGAAGGCAAUUUUAGGUUUACGUAGACGAGCAUGCGCUCCCACUUA